RNAcentral lists this ribosomal RNA (427 nucleotides) under uncultured Selenomonas sp. Its description in RNAcentral is "bacterial SSU rRNA". It matches the Rfam family "Bacterial small subunit ribosomal RNA", at positions 355 to 774 of the family's 1533-position model. Lineage: Bacteria; Bacillati; Bacillota; Negativicutes; Selenomonadales; Selenomonadaceae. The record is from RNAcentral.
UGGGGAAUCUUCCACAAUGGGCGAAAGCCUGAUGGAGCAACGCCGCGUGAGUGAAGAAGGUCUUCGGAUCGUAAAGCUCUGUUGCACAGGACGAAAACCGGGUUUGAAAACAUUGAGCCUGGGUGACGGUACUGUGCGAGGAAGCCACGGCUAACUACGUGCCAGCAGCCGCGGUAAUACGUAGGUGGCGAGCGUUGUCCGGAAUUAUUGGGCGUAAAGGGAGCGCAGGCGGGCAUAUCAGUCCAUCUUAAAAGUGCGGGGCUCAACCCCGUGAGGGGAUGGAAACUGUAUGUCUUGAGUGCAGGAGAGGAAAGCGGAAUUCCCAGUGUAGCGGUGAAAUGCGUAGAUAUUGGGAGGAACACCAGUGGCGAAGGCGGCUUUCUGGACUGUAACUGACGCUGAGGCUCGAAAGCCAGGGGAGCGAACG